UACGUAGGUGGCAAGCGUUGUCCGGAUUUACUGGGCGUAAAGAGCGCGCAGGCGGUCGUACAAGUCGCGUGUGAAAGCCCCCGGCUCAACUGGGGAGGGUCACGCGAUACUGUUCGACUCGAAGGCAGGAGAGGGAAGCGGAAUUCCCGGUGUAGUGGUGAAAUGCGUAGAUAUCGGGAGGAACACCGGUGGCGAAGGCGGCUUCCUGGCCUGUUCUUGACGCUGAGGCGCGAAAGCUAGGGUAGCAAACGGG
RNAcentral lists this ribosomal RNA (253 nucleotides) under uncultured bacterium. RNAcentral's name for it is "partial 16S ribosomal RNA". It matches the Rfam family "Bacterial small subunit ribosomal RNA", at positions 524 to 776 of the family's 1533-position model. The record is from RNAcentral.